AGAGUUUGAUCCUGGCUCAGGAUGAACGCUGGCGGCGUGCCUAAUACAUGCAAGUCGAGCGAAUGGAUUAAGAGCUUGCUCUUAUGAAGUUAGCGGCGGACGGGUGAGUAACACGUGGGUAACCUGCCCAUAAGACUGGGAUAACUCCGGGAAACCGGGGCUAAUACCGGAUAACAUUUUGAACCGCAUGGUUCGAAAUUGAAAGGCGGCUUCGGCUGUCACUUAUGGAUGGACCCGCGUCGCAUUAGCUAGUUGGUGAGGUAACGGCUCACCAAGGCAACGAUGCGUAGCCGACCUGAGAGGGUGAUCGGCCACACUGGGACUGAGACACGGCCCAGACUCCUACGGGAGGCAGCAGUAGGGAAUCUUCCGCAAUGGACGAAAGUCUGACGGAGCAACGCCGCGUGAGUGAUGAAGGCUUUCGGGUCGUAAAACUCUGUUGUUAGGGAAGAACAAGUGCUAGUUGAAUAAGCUGGCACCUUGACGGUACCUAACCAGAAAGCCACGGCUAACUACGUGCCAGCAGCCGCGGUAAUACGUAGGUGGCAAGCGUUAUCCGGAAUUAUUGGGCGUAAAGCGCGCGCAGGUGGUUUCUUAAGUCUGAUGUGAAAGCCCACGGCUCAACCGUGGAGGGUCAUUGGAAACUGGGAGACUUGAGUGCAGAAGAGGAAAGUGGAAUUCCAUGUGUAGCGGUGAAAUGCGUAGAGAUAUGGAGGAACACCAGUGGCGAAGGCGACUUUCUGGUCUGUAACUGACACUGAGGCGCGAAAGCGUGGGGAGCAAACAGGAUUAGAUACCCU
This 800-nucleotide ribosomal RNA is filed under the name uncultured bacterium. RNAcentral describes it as "bacterial SSU rRNA". It matches the Rfam family "Bacterial small subunit ribosomal RNA", at positions 8 to 788 of the family's 1533-position model. The record is from RNAcentral.